This is a long non-coding RNA of Manis pentadactyla (Chinese pangolin), 3487 nucleotides long. RefSeq lists it as uncharacterized. The transcript has 4 exons. The record is from RefSeq and is a predicted model, not a curated record. NCBI's taxonomy places the organism in Eukaryota, Metazoa, Chordata, Mammalia, Pholidota, Manidae.
CCCAUCAUCUGAUCGAUUUCCAGAUAAGAAACUAGUCUUGCAUCCCUGGAAUAAACCCACGGUGUCUACGCCCUUUUUUAUGCUGCUGGUGGCCUGCUAGUAUUUUGGUCAGGAUUUUUGGAUCUGGGUUUAUAAGAACUUACCAUGUAGAGUUCUUGUGAUGUGUUUGGGUGUCAGGGUAAUACUUGUUCAUAGAGUCAUUUCAGAGUGUUCCUUUCUUUCUUUUAAGAAGUUUUUGCAGCACUCACUGGUGCUAAAAAUUCUACUAUAAUCAUUUAGUAGAAUUUACCAGCGAAACCCACUGGACCUGGACAUUUCAUUGUUCAAAAUGCUAAUUCAGGCUCCUGUUACAGCUCUGUACAGAUUUUCUAUUUCUUCCUGAGUCAGUUUCAAUAGUUUGUGUCUUUUUAGGAAUGUUUCUUUUUCAUCUGGGCUAAUUUGUUCAUAUACAAGUGCUCAAAAUAUUCCUUUACAAUCCUUUAUAUUUCUGUAGGGUCACUAACUGUGUUCAUAGAAAUAAAUGAAAUAGAGAACAGAAAAAACAUAGAGAAAAAUUAACAAAAUGAAAAGUUGCCUCUUUGAAAAGCAACAAAAUUGACAAACCUCGUUGGAGGAGAGAAGACUGAAUGUUUUUGUUUUCAUCCAUCUUGAAGUAUUUUUGAAUUUCUCCUGUGCUUUUUUUCCUCUGGCCUUUUGAAGGGGUUUUUUAGGAUUAUCUUCCUUAAUUUCCACAUACUUCCCAAAUUUCCUUGUAUUACUGAUCUCAAAUUUAAUUCCAUGAGAAGGUUUUGGCCUUGUUUUUUAAAAAAAUGGUUUCUACCCCUUUCUGCCCUCUCCCUCUGGCACUCCCAUCAUGCAUAUAUUAGUACACUUGGUGGUGUCCCACAGCUCUGUUCAUUUUCCUUUGCUCUUUUUUCUGUACUCUUCAAAUCUGAUGAUUUCUAUUCAUAUGUCUUCAACUUUACUGAUUUGUCUGCCAUGUCAAUUCUUCCCGUGAGACCAUCUAGUGAAUUUUUUUGUUUUAGUUACUGUAUUUUCAACAUUAGAAUUGUUCUUUGGUUCUUUUUUGCAAUUUCUCCUUGUUAAUAUUCCUCUUUGAUGAGACACUUUCUCAAACUUUUCUUUAAUUCUUUGAACAUAUUUAAAAGAGCAGAUUUAAAAUCUUGUCUAGUUAAGUCCAACGUCUUGGCUUGUUCAGGGACAGUUUCUAUAGGUUGCUUCUUUUCCCUGCACAGAUCACACUUUCUUUGCAUGUCUUAUCAUAUUUGGUUUAAUAAUGGACAUCUAUAAUACUAGAAUGUGGCAACUCUGGAAAUCAGACCCUUGCCUCCCCACCCCCACCUCUGUGGUUGCUGUUUGUUCAUUGAAAUAACUCUGUCCUGAAAUAACUCUGUGUUCUUUGUUGUGUGUGAGGUCUCUGGUUAGCUCCAUGGUCAGCUGAUGCUGGACUGAGAUUCCCUUAAAUGCCUUGAGCCAUUAAGUCUCUAGCUGUGUGCAGACUUGCAGAGGAACUCUGUGUGCAUGUUGGGGCAGGCCUUCUGUGCUUUGUCGGGGAAUUGGCAGCCUUGCCUCACCACCACUGCCUUUCUGUGCAGAGCCUCAGGAUCGGCCAGAGGCACCUUGUCACACAGCAGGACAAGCAGUGUGGACGCCGCUGGCACUGCCCGCGCAGGCUCGUCCCGGAUUGCCUAUACGUGGUCCUAUUUCAACUGUCAACAAGCUUUCUAUUGAUCUUUUAAACCCUGGGUGCUGUCCUACUGCCAACCACAGGGGCCCUCAUCAGAUUAUGGUUCCCGACUUUUCAAUCAGAAAUGUGCUCGCCAUCGGUUCUCUCCAGCAGUGUGUGUCCCUCUCUGGGGACCCCUGAUGAGGUUACCCUGCGCGGGGUGGCCUUGCCUCAGGGGCAUCUCCUGGCCUCUGAAGAUGUUCACGUGGUCAGAUUCACUGGCGGAACUUUAUUCUCCAGCCUGUUGCGGUGGAAUCUUUGUCAUUGAUUUCAGACAUUUCCUCCCCUGUAAGCAAACUAUGCAAAGGGACUUCUUUUACGAGAUGAAGGGGACCUGUGAAAAAUCCCCAGUUCACGCAAUCUCGUACAUUCUGCCAAAUACUGAACAUUUUCUUUCUGAGAUCAGUAGCAAGAUAAGGAGUAUACUGCCCCUCACCUGUAGUCAGCAUGGCGGUGAGAAUCGAGCUGCAGUAGAAAACAGGACAAAGGGGCAGAAGCAAAACUUGGUGGGAAAGAAACAAACUGUCUCUGAACACGGCACGAUCACUUACAUAGAAAACCUCAAGGAAGCUACAAAACCACUCGUGUAAGUUGCAGGAUUCAAGACUAAUAUGCAAAAAUAAAUUUCACAUUUAUAUACUAAAACAAUUGGAAAUUAGGUUUGAAGAAAAGUCCACUUAUAAUACCAAAUAAAAUACUCAGAAAUGCAUUUAACAAAAGAUGCACAAGUCAUGUUCACAGAAAACUACAGCACACUUCUGAGAGAGACAUUUAGAAGACCUGGGUACAUGCAGAGGUGUGCCGUGUUCCUGGAAUGGAGGACUCACUGGCAGCCCCACAAACCUGUCUGUAGAUUCAGUGCAAUCCCAAUCAAAAUCCCAGCAUGGUUUUGUAGAAAUUGAGAAGCUAAUUCUAAAAUUUACUUACAAAUACAAGAGACCUAGAAGAGUCAAAGAAAUUUCUAAAAGCUGGAGGACUGAGACCUCUUGAGUUCCAGACUUCCCUCAAAGCUAAGGUAAUCAAGUAGUGUAGACAUAUGGAUCAACUGGACAUGAUAGACACCCAUACAGAGAGUCAACUGAUUUUUAACAAAGAUGGUUAGUCAAUUCAAUAGGGAAAGAAAAAUUAUUUAAAUAGCUGGCUAUUUAUAAAUAAACAUCAACUUUUACAUUGCUCCAUACACACAAAUAUUAACUUGAAAUGAUCAUAGAUAUGAAACUCCUAGGAGAAAAUCUUUGUGACCUUAAGUAGGCAAACAUUUUGUACAUAGAAUAUGAAAAGCACAAACCGUAAAAAAUCGAUAAACUGGAUUUAUCAAUUACUUUUGCUCUUUGAAAGACACUAUUUAGAAAAUGAAAACACAAGUCCCAGAAUGGUAGAAAAUAUUAGCAAUGCCUGUAUCUGACAAAUGAUUCUUAAUCAUAUUAUGCAGAUAGGAAUUAAAACUCAGUAUUAAAAGGACAAGCAACACAAUUAUAAAUGAGCAAAUGAUUUGAACAGAUGCUUUACUAAGGAAGAUAUAUAAAUGCCCAAGAAACACAUGAAAAGAUGUUCAACAUCAAGUGUCUGGGAAAUGCAAACAAAACUACAAUGAGCUACACUACCCACCUACUGGGAUGGUUAAAAUCAAAGACUAAUAACCCCUCUUAUUUUUUGAACCUAAAGUGGCACAAACACUGCUUGACAGUUUCUUAAUGCACCUGUCAUGUGACCUAGUUUUUCUACUUCCAGACAUUUGCCCAAUGUAAAUGAAAACAUACA